AAGCGUUAAUCGGAAUUACUGGGCGUAAAGCGCACGCAGGCGGUUUGUUAAGUCAGAUGUGAAAUCCCCGGGCUCAACCUGGGAACUGCAUCUGAUACUGGCAAGCUUGAGUCUCGUAGAGGGGGGUGGAAUUCCAGGUGUAGCGGUGAAAUGCGUAGAGAUCUGGAGGAAUACCGGUGGCGAAGGCGGCCCCCUGGACGAAGACUGACGCUCAGGUGCGAAAGCGUGGGGAGCAAACAGGAUUAGAUACCCUGG
RNAcentral lists this ribosomal RNA (255 nucleotides) under Escherichia coli. RNAcentral describes it as "partial 16S ribosomal RNA". It matches the Rfam family "Bacterial small subunit ribosomal RNA", at positions 536 to 790 of the family's 1533-position model. Lineage: Bacteria; Pseudomonadati; Pseudomonadota; Gammaproteobacteria; Enterobacterales; Enterobacteriaceae. The record is from RNAcentral.